Helianthus annuus (common sunflower) is the source of this 371-nucleotide long non-coding RNA. RefSeq lists it as uncharacterized. Lineage: Eukaryota; Viridiplantae; Streptophyta; Magnoliopsida; Asterales; Asteraceae. The transcript has 3 exons. The record is from RefSeq and is a predicted model, not a curated record.
UAGUCCUCGCUGAUGUCAUAAUUACGAAACGGUAUCCUUUAGUGUUGUUUUCGCUAAAGUUUGAAACGGUAUUGUUUAGUGUUACUCUACCUUCAAGGAAAGUCCAAGGAGCAGCUAUGACAAGGUUUAAAGCUAUUGAAUGGCUUGAAAGUGUAGUUAGGCCAUUGGAGAUACCAAAACAACCAUCAAACUUUUUGAUAGGUCAAAGCUUCAUGUUUCCAACAACUAAUGGUUGUUCUAUCGUAAAGACUUCUGGAGAGCUGGGAACGACUGGAAGUUGUGGUGGCUGUGUGACCGAGGUAUAAUCGAAUUGAAGUUUGUAGAAGUAAUUUUAUACAUCAGCUUGAAAAGGUACUUAACUUUCGUUGAAU